AGCGCAGGCGGGAAGACAAGUUGGAAGUGAAAUCUAUGGGCUCAACCCAUAAACUGCUUUCAAAACUGUUUUUCUUGAGUAGUGCAGAGGUAGGCGGAAUUCCCGGUGUAGCGGUGGAAUGCGUAGAUAUCGGGAGGAACACCAGUGGCGAAGGCGGCCUACUGGGCACCAACUGACGCUGAGGCUCGAAAGUGUGGUAGCAAACA
Molecule: ribosomal RNA, 206 nt
Filed under: uncultured bacterium
Lineage: Bacteria
Description: partial 16S ribosomal RNA
Rfam family: Bacterial small subunit ribosomal RNA
Source: RNAcentral